RNAcentral lists this ribosomal RNA (468 nucleotides) under uncultured Bacteroidota bacterium. Its description in RNAcentral is "bacterial SSU rRNA". It matches the Rfam family "Bacterial small subunit ribosomal RNA", at positions 9 to 470 of the family's 1533-position model. Lineage: Bacteria; Pseudomonadati; Bacteroidota. The record is from RNAcentral.
GAGUUUGAUCAUGGCUCAGGAUGAACGCUGGCGGCAGGCCUAACACAUGCAAGUCGAGGGGUAACAGAGGAAAGCUUGCUUUCUUGCUGACGACCGGCGCACGGGUGCGUAACGCGUAUACAAUCUGCCUUAUACAGAGGGAUAGCCUUUAGAAAUGAAGAUUAAUACCUCAUAGUCUAUUAAUAUAGCAUUAUAUAAAUAGUAAAGCUUCGGCGGUAUAAGAUGAGUAUGCGUCCUAUUAGUUAGUUGGUAAGGUAACGGCUUACCAAGACAACGAUAGGUAGGGGCCCUGAGAGGGGGAUCCCCCACACUGGUACUGAGACACGGACCAGACUCCUACGGGAGGCAGCAGUGAGGAAUAUUGGACAAUGGGCGCAAGCCUGAUCCAGCCAUGCCGCGUGCAGGAAGACUGCCCUAUGGGUUGUAAACUGCUUUUAUAUAGGAAGAAACCUCUUACGUGUAAGAAGC